GAACGCUAGCUACAGGCUUAACACAUGCAAGUCGAGGGGCAGCAUGGUCUUAGCUUGCUAAGGCCGAUGGCGACCGGCGCACGGGUGAGUAACACGUAUCCAACCUGCCGUCUACUCUUGGACAGCCUUCUGAAAGGAAGAUUAAUACGAGAUGGCAUCAUGAGUCCGCAUGUUCACAUGAUUAAAGGUAUUCCGGUAGACGAUGGGGAUGCGUUCCAUUAGAUAGUAGGCGGGGUAACGGCCCACCUAGUCUUCGAUGGAUAGGGGUUCUGAGAGGAAGGUCCCCCACAUUGGAACUGAGACACGGUCCAAACUCCUACGGGAGGCAGCAGUGAGGAAUAUUGGUCAAUGGGCGAGAGCCUGAACCAGCCAAGUAGCGUGAAGGAUGACUGCCCUAUGGGUUGUAAACUUCUUUUAUAAAGGAAUAAAGUCGGGUAUGCAUACCCGUUUGCAUGUACUUUAUGAAUAAGGAUCGGCUAACUCCGUGCCAGCAGCCGCGGUAAUACGGAGGAUCCGAGCGUUAUCCGGAUUUAUUGGGUUUAAAGGGAGCGUAGAUGGAUGUUUAAGUCAGUUGUGAAAGUUUGCGGCUCAACCGUAAAAUUGCAGUUGAUACUGGAUAUCUUGAGUGCAGUUGAGGCAGGCGGAAUUCGUGGUGUAGCGGUGAAAUGCUUAGAUAUCACGAAGAACUCCGAUUGCGAAGGGCAGCCUGCUAAGCUGCAACUGACAUUGAGGCUCGAAAGUGUGGGUAUCAAACAGGAUUAGAUACCCUGGUAGUCCACACGGUAAACGAUGAAUACUCGCUGUUUGCGAUAUACAGCAAGCGGCCAAGCGAAAGCGUUAAGUAUUCCACCUGGGGAGUACGCCGGCAACGGUGAAACUCAAAGGAAUUGACGGGGGCCCGCACAAGCGGAGGAACAUGUGGUUUAAUUCGAUGAUACGCGAGGAACCUUACCCGGGCUUAAAUUGCAGAUGAAUUACGGUGAAAGCCGUAAGCCGCAAGGCAUCUGUGAAGGUGCUGCAUGGUUGUCGUCAGCUCGUGCCGUGAGGUGUCGGCUUAAGUGCCAUAACGAGCGCAACCCUUGUUGUCAGUUACUAACAGGUUCCGCUGAGGACUCUGACAAGACUGCCAUCGUAAGAUGUGAGGAAGGUGGGGAUGACGUCAAAUCAGCACGGCCCUUACGUCCGGGGCUACACACGUGUUACAAUGGGGGGGUACAGAGGGCCGCUACCACGCGAGUGGAUGCCAAUCCCAAAAACCUCUCUCAGUUCGGACUGGAGUCUGCAACCCGACUCCACGAAGCUGGAUUCGCUAGUAAUCGCGCAUCAGCCACGGCGCGGUGAAUACGUUCCCGGGCCUUGUACACACCGCCCGUCAAGCCAUGGGAGCCGGGGGUACCUGAAGUGCGUAACCGCGAGGAGCGCCCUAGGGUAAAACUGAA
RNAcentral lists this ribosomal RNA (1439 nucleotides) under uncultured organism. Its description in RNAcentral is "SSU rRNA". It matches the Rfam family "Bacterial small subunit ribosomal RNA". The record is from RNAcentral.